RNAcentral lists this long non-coding RNA (862 nucleotides) under Hordeum vulgare. RNAcentral describes it as "long non-coding RNA (HVUL_LNC005833)". The record is from RNAcentral. Lineage: Eukaryota; Viridiplantae; Streptophyta; Magnoliopsida; Poales; Poaceae.
UUACAGGUCAUAACUCAUAACUGAGAAGCUAAUAUUAUCUCAGAUAUUUAGCACACUGUUUUGCCCAUGCACAUCCUUGUGUCCAGGCAGAAUACAUCAUAUAUAAUUUGGAAGAUAUCAUAGCGGGGAACACAACAAUUUGUAGCCAGUAGUGGUGUACUUAUUCGCCUUGCAUACUCUGCUUUAUUACAAUGAGCACAUACAGGCUCUAGCAAGAUAGUUUGCAGAGAACUACAUGCCACUUCAUAGCUUUAAGGAAGGAGGAAGAGGUGUUGGCCUUGCUAAGGGACGCUGAAAGAACCAUCCCUUCUCCUCAGUGAAGCCAGAGGAUGCAGGUGCACCAUUCCCAGCUGGUGCUGCAAUUUAUCAUGAACAAAAAUUAAUUGAAGCAAUCGUUAAAAUCUGACCAAGUAUUCGUAUUACGUAUGCAAGAAGAGACUGGAUCUCCCUUUGUUUCAACUUUCAAGGAAAUGAAAGCGAAGCGCAGGGUGGAAAGAAACAAAUAGAUCGCUUCCUAUGAAAUUUUUUACGUUUAGUGUUGCCAUAAAAAGUUUGCAAAUUUUUGUACCUACAGAAAUAACACAUGUAAAUGAAGAACAAGUUUUCUUUUUCUCUCUGAACCGUAGAAUGAGAUUGAAAAUACAUAGCAAGAACGACUGCGUUCAAGUUUACGUUUGAAGGUCUUACCCGGCGCAGCAGCUUGACGUGCCAAGUCUUUUGGACGAUCUGGCGGUGUCGUCUGGCCCAUCACAACUGGGAGAUGUCCAUGGGUGAGGACCAGAACGAUAGCCAGCAUUGCGAACACCUUAGCGGCCAUGGUUUGGGCUCUGUCACUCCACUACUGAAAGAAGCUUUUGUUGGG